UUCUGAAGGAAAUACAUCUAGCUGGAAGCCACAAAACUGUUUCUAAAUAUAGGUUAGUUUACUGAAGGAGCAGGAGCCAGUGCCUCUGAGAUAUUUUAUUUCUGUGAUAGAAUGAAUUUCACAACUGAAUUAAGUCACCAGAAUGUGAUACAGAAGGACCCAGCAUGAUGGAUUUCUCAGUGGGCCCUGUUGAGGACUCCAAUCUUCCGACUUCCACAACCGUGACUCUUCUCAUGCAUCCAGGUCCCCUGCCAGCUUCAUAAACUCAAGCUCCCUGGAGAAAUCUUAGAACCAUGUGAUCCAAUCUAGCUAGUGCCAUGAUCAAAAAAAAAAAAAAAAAAGUGACAUUUGGGUGUGUAGAAUAUGCUUUCGAAAAAAUACACCGUGAGUUUAUUUUUAGAGUAGUGGAGCAUUCAAACCACCUACCCGACACUUGACAGUGCCUUCAGAGGGAGUGUGCCGAGUUCCCAGCUUUUCAAGAAGAGGUGAUUUUCCAAGAAAUUGGCCAGCCACUUGCAGUACACUGAGAACUGUUUGAAUCUGGAUCCUGUUCCUCAAAACAAAUUAUUAAAUACCUACUGUAUGCAAGAAAUCACGAGACCUGCAAGAUGAAUUUAAUAGGCCUCUCCCUUGGGAAACAUAUGUCCUCGUAGAGGAUGAAGAGGGUAACGGUAAUAAAAAUAACUAAUAAUUACUAUUUGCUUCACAUACAUCAUCUUACAUGAUCUCCAGGACACCCACAGCAAGUAAGCAAAUUACUAGUUCUCAUUUGCAGAUGAGCAAAGUGGGGCAGAAAAAUUAAAUAACCUUGCCAGGCCAGAAGACGCACGAAGUCCUGAAACCAAGGUUCAAGUUGUAAGAGUCUGAUACAGCAUGCCCACCUCUCAGCGCUGCGCUAUAGAGACAUGCCCAUACCAAUGACGCAAAGACAGAAAUGUGGGUAGGGCCUGACCCGUCAUAGAAAACAGAGUCAUGGGGAGACUUGAGAGAGACACCUUUGAGAGCUGAGGCUACUGUGGUAGUACAAAUGGAAAUUUUAGAUGGUCUCCUUUGUCUUCAUCCCUCCUUUCAAGCUACCUCUUUUAUACGGUGUUCUUGCUUUUCUUCAGGUUCCCAGUGCCCUUUCCAUUGCCCUUCUUAGCUCUCGGGGUCUAAGUGUUUUUCUGAAAAAAAAAAAAAAUAAUAAACAAUGAGUAAUCAGAAAAGACCUGUGAAACACUCCCAAGCCAACAUCAACCACACCCCUCAGCGGCCUCCAUGCCUCUGCCCACGCUGCUGUGGUACUGGAUGUCCCUCCCCUGCAUGCUGUCCCCCAGGUUAGCCCUCCAUUGUACAUUGGGUUUUAGGCAUUGUCACUGCAUCUCACUCUAUAUCCCAGACUGGUCUGGAACUCAGCAUAUAACAUUAGUCCAGCCUGACCUCCAACUCCUGGCAAUCCUCCUGCCUCAGAGUCCCAAAUAGCUGGGGUUACGAGUAUAUACCACCACACCCAUCUGAUUGUUUCCUUGUUACAAAUUCCACACCUAACCACUGGAGUAUCAUGAAGUUUGUCUUUCUUGACCUAUUUUCCUUUCAUGAUCUUAUCUGAGCAUGUGGUUGACAAUAUCACCUGUAAUGCUAACAAUUCUAAAAUGUGUAUCUUAGAUGCUUUCUAAGUUCCCAAAUUAUACAUCCAAUUGUUUACCUACUAAGUGGGCCAGCCCUACUACACAGCGGUCGAAAAGACAUCUGAAACAGGACAGGUUGAAGGUGUGUCACUCACUUCAAGCUACUUAUUCUGGCUGCCUUCCCCUUCUCUACCAACAGUAAUGUCAUUCCUCUGGCUGCUCUCAGGUCAAAACAAUUGAAGUAAUUUUUGCUCUUGUCUCCAUUCUGUAAGUAGCAAAUUCUGUGAGGUAUGUUAAGAAUCUAACCAUUUCCCCCCUUUUGCCUGAUGGGUUCCUGCCACACUGGCCACCUCUCCAGUUAUUAAACACAAACUCCCUUUCCUGCCCUCCAUCUUCCCUUGGCUUUCAAAAACUCUCCCCACAUCACAUCGAUUCUCAGAUUUCAUGUUUGGAGGAAAGACAUCCACUCAAAUCUCAUCCCCACCCCCACCCCCACCCCCAAGCCAUACUCUUGUUAUGCCAUUUGCCUUGCUUUGCUUAGAACUUACCACAGGCGGAGACAGACCUGCGACUCAUCCUCUGUGUAGACCCCAACAAAUACUUUUCGAAUUAAUGAUAAGGAACUCCUUGAAAGUUGGAGAUUAAGGAGAGAGCCAACCCAGAGUUCCAUGAAUACACUGUAGCAAGGGUUGUUGACUCCAUUCUAGAGCAAGGGAAGCCAGAAUCAGAGACUAGUUGACAGGCGUCUGCAAGUUGAACCAGCUAAAUCAAGAUUUUUGCAGAGAUGGUGGAGGAAGAAUCUGGAAUCCUGUUCUCUGAUCUGCUUGGAUCUCCUCGUGCCUGUAUUGUACUGCUUGCUCACCAGCGUCUAGGAGAGACUUCCCGUUUGCUUGAGACUGGGAUUCUCUCCUCUACAGCUAAAUAAACAUUCUCCUUGUCAUUCAAGCAAGGCCUAUUAGAC
Long non-coding RNA from Mastomys coucha (southern multimammate mouse), 2568 nucleotides. RefSeq lists it as uncharacterized. The transcript is spliced from 2 exons. The record is from RefSeq and is a predicted model, not a curated record. NCBI's taxonomy places the organism in Eukaryota, Metazoa, Chordata, Mammalia, Rodentia, Muridae.